GACAGAGGGUGCGAACGUUGUUCGGAAUUACUGGGCGUAAAGCGCGUGUAGGCGGCAACGCAAGUCGGGCGUGAAGUCCCACGGCUCAACCGUGGAAGUGCACUCGAAACUGCGUAGCUAGAGUCCUGGAGAGGAAGGUGGAAUGCUUGGUGUAGAGGUGAAAUUCGUAGAUAUCAAGCGGAACACCGGUGGCGAAGGCGGCCUUCUGGACAGUGACUGACGCUGAGACGCGAAAGCGUGGGGAGCAAACAGG
This 253-nucleotide ribosomal RNA is filed under the name uncultured bacterium. RNAcentral describes it as "partial 16S ribosomal RNA". It matches the Rfam family "Bacterial small subunit ribosomal RNA", at positions 524 to 776 of the family's 1533-position model. The record is from RNAcentral.